RNAcentral lists this transfer RNA (82 nucleotides) under Lepocinclis steinii. Its description in RNAcentral is "tRNA-Leu". It matches the Rfam family "tRNA". Rfam says of the family: Transfer RNA (tRNA) molecules are approximately 80 nucleotides in length. The record is from RNAcentral. Lineage: Eukaryota; Euglenozoa; Euglenophyceae; Euglenales; Phacaceae.
GCCUUCGUGGUGAAAUGGUAUACACACAUGACUUAAAAUCAUGUGCCUAAUAAGCAUACCGGUUCAAGUCCGGUCGGAGGUA